AUGUACUUCGCUGCCCUGGGCAGCAAUAUCUUCAUGGCGAACAGCAAACACCCUGGCACCAUGGUCUACAACACAGAGACAGCUGGAUUGGCCAUCGGCCCUCCUCUCCCUGAUGGACUACUCGGAGGCAUUAAAAUCUUUGUGGCUACUGCCAACAUGCAGUUGUAUGUGUUAAAGUAUAACAUCAAGGAAAUGCGACAGUCAUUUGAGGUGCUGUCUGCGGUGGGCAUCAAGGAUCCACAUCCUUCAAAUCCAAGCAUGGACUGGUGCUGGACAAGCGUGCCCUCACCACUGCCAUUCACCAAGGAUGACAUGAUCAACUCCUACCCCAUGCACCCGGAUGGACACACUAUCUUCAUGUCUGCUAGCAGCAGGCGCUAUCUGCAUCGCACCUUCUCCUUUGACACCAGGUACCAAGAGUGGAGGUGUCUUGGGGAAUGGGCAUUGCCUUUCCAAGGACAAGGCUACUUUGACAGUGAGCUGGAUGCAUGGGUUGGCCUUCACAAGGAUGGGUACAUUUGUUCCUGCCAAGUCGCUUCCUGCACCGACGAAGGUACCAUGCAACCUGACUGGAAGAUGGGCAAGGAGAAACUUUUCCUCAAGCACUCGGAUGCCACCCUCACAUACAUGGGGAGCACCAGGUUUUGCCUUGUAGAGAGUUUGGUAUGUGAAGAACUGGAGUUUGAUGACGCCUUUGGUGACUGUAAUGGCUUCAUGCUCUGCAUCACCAUUUUUGGUGUCAAGUACAAUCGUGAGGGAGAGCUGCAAACCACCAUCCGCCGCACCACCAAAUCCUAUCAAGUGUCUAAGCAUGUCUUGUCAUUUUCUCCUGUGGCGUUCUGGUUUUAG
RNAcentral lists this ribosomal RNA (849 nucleotides) under Triticum aestivum (bread wheat). RNAcentral's name for it is "partial small subunit ribosomal RNA". Lineage: Eukaryota; Viridiplantae; Streptophyta; Magnoliopsida; Poales; Poaceae. The record is from RNAcentral.